Molecule: long non-coding RNA, 952 nt
Filed under: Homo sapiens (human)
Lineage: Eukaryota; Metazoa; Chordata; Mammalia; Primates; Hominidae
Description: non-protein coding lnc-NR5A2-11:1
Source: RNAcentral
ACUUUACAUGUACUGACUCUUAAAAAAAAAAAAAAAAGUUACUGGCAAGUAUGUUCUUAGAGGGUCAUUGUGAGACUCAGAUGAGACAGUGUAAAUAAAAGUACUUUGUAGAUAGGGAUAUACAGGGGUUAGCCCCAAAUAAAUAACUUACUUGAGCUAAUUGGUAUCACUUAGAGACCAGAUCAAGAGACAAUAUAACCUCAGAUUUCUUUCUUAUCACCCUUUUCUUUCAUAGCAGGGAGGCUUUAUAUAACGAAUACCCUCCUCUUUUCCUAAGCAAUGUGAGUAAAUAUUAAUGGUGGCCCUUCCUUAAGAUUUCAAUAGGAAUAGAUUCAGUAACAAAAUAAAAACAUUCACGUGCUAAUGAGUUUCCAGUGUCUCAAGUCCAAUGUCUCGAGGGCUUUCACGUGUGCUAUUUCUCUCCUUGGAUCACCAUUAAUGCACCUUCUUCACCUGUGUAUGCUUACAUACCCCUCUAGAGUCAAUUUAAGUCACUCUCUCUUAAGUCUUCUCUGAAUCCCCAUAUAGAUCUAAAUUCUAUUUUCUGUUUUCUGCUUCUAUUGCACUCAGAACAUUGUAUUUUAACUACAUACCUGACUUUCUCCCAGCUUGAGUGCAAGACUUUAGAAGGCAGAGAACGUAGCUGAAUAUAUUUCUCUAUGCCUAGUAUCUAACACAGUGUCUGGCAUAGAGUAGAGGCUCAAUAAAGGAUUGCUGACUGUAGACUGGGAUCCAUGGUUUAUAGCCUAACAGACAUGAGAAAUGAACUUUGAAAAUAAAGUAAUUCUAUAAAUAAAAGGCAACUCAGGUGGGCAAUACAUUAAACUAAUACAUAAUAGGAGGAACAGAUAAGCAAUUUGUGGGAAACUAUUCAGUAACAAGCAAAGUAGAAGAAAAGAUGUAUUUCGAAUAUGAAGUAUUUUGAAAAUCAAUUAAAAUAAUUUAGACUUAA